AGAGUUUGAUCAUGGCUCAGAUUGAACGCUGGCGGAACGCUUACACAUGCAAGUCGAGGGGAAACGACAUCGAAAGCUUGUCUUUUGAUGGGCGUCGACCGGCGCACGGGUGAGUAACGCGUAUCCAACCUGCCCACCACUUGGGGAUAACCUUGCGAAAGUAAGACUAAUACCCAAUGAUAUCUCUAGAAGACAUCUGAAAGAGAUUAAAGAUUUAUCGGUGAUGGAUGGGGAUGCGUCUGAUUAGCUUGUUGGCGGGGUAACGGCCCACCAAGGCGACGAUCAGUAGGGGUCCUGAGAGGAAGGUCCCCCACAUUGGAACUGAGACACGGUCCAAACUCCUACGGGAGGCAGCA
RNAcentral lists this ribosomal RNA (356 nucleotides) under uncultured bacterium. Its description in RNAcentral is "bacterial SSU rRNA". It matches the Rfam family "Bacterial small subunit ribosomal RNA", at positions 8 to 353 of the family's 1533-position model. The record is from RNAcentral.